RNAcentral lists this transfer RNA (72 nucleotides) under Mesocricetus auratus (golden hamster). It matches the Rfam family "tRNA". Rfam says of the family: Transfer RNA (tRNA) molecules are approximately 80 nucleotides in length. Their secondary structure includes four short double-helical elements and three loops (D, anti-codon, and T loops). Further hydrogen bonds mediate the characteristic L-shaped molecular structure. tRNAs have two regions of fundamental functional importance: the anti-codon, which is responsible for specific mRNA codon recognition, and the 3' end, to which the tRNAs corresponding amino acid is attached (by aminoacyl-tRNA synthetases). tRNAs cope with the degeneracy of the genetic code in two manners: having more than one tRNA (with a specific anti-codon) for a particular amino acid; and 'wobble' base-pairing, i.e. permitting non-standard base-pairing at the 3rd anti-codon position. Lineage: Eukaryota; Metazoa; Chordata; Mammalia; Rodentia; Cricetidae. The record is from Rfam by way of RNAcentral.
AGGGUUGUGGCUCAGGUUGGUAGAGUGCUUGCUUAGUGUGCAAGAAGCCCCGGGUUCAAUUCCCCAGUACUG